CUACGGGAGGCACCAGUGGGGAAUAUUGCACAAUGGGCGCAAGCCUGAUGCAGCCAUGCCGCGUGUAUGAAGAAGGCCUUCGGGUUGUAAAGUACUUUCAGCGGGGAGGAAGGGAGUAAAGUUAAUACCUUUGCUCAUUGACGUUACCCGCAGAAGAAGCACCGACUAACUCCGUGCCAGCAGCCGCGGUAAUACGGAGGGCGCAAGCGUUAAUCGGAAUUACUGGGCGUAAAGCGCACGCAGGCGGUUUGUUAAGUCAGAUGUGAAAUCCCCGGGCUCAACCUGGGAACUGCAUCUGAUACUGGCAAGCUUGAGUCUCGUAGAGGGGGGUAGAAUUCCAGGUGUAGCGGUGAAAUGCGUAGAGAUCUGGAGGAAUACCGGUGGCGAAGGCGGCCCCCUGGACGAAGACUGACGCUCAGGUGCGAAAGCGUGGGGAGCAAACAGGAUUAGAUACCCUCGUAGUC
This 464-nucleotide ribosomal RNA is filed under the name uncultured bacterium. RNAcentral's name for it is "partial 16S ribosomal RNA". It matches the Rfam family "Bacterial small subunit ribosomal RNA", at positions 339 to 795 of the family's 1533-position model. The record is from RNAcentral.